Molecule: ribosomal RNA, 534 nt
Filed under: uncultured Glomus
Lineage: Eukaryota; Fungi; Glomeromycota; Glomeromycetes; Glomerales; Glomeraceae
Description: SSU rRNA
Rfam family: Eukaryotic small subunit ribosomal RNA
Source: RNAcentral
CAAGUCUGGUGCCAGCAGCCGCGGUAAUUCCAGCUCCAAUAGCGUAUAUUAAAGUUGUUGCAGUUAAAAAGCUCGUAGUUGAAUUUCGGAAUCAACACGUCGGUCGUGCCACUGGUAUGAACUGGCGUCGUUGAUUUCUCCUUUCUGAGGAACCAUGAUGUCAUUAAUUUGGUGUGGUGGGAAAUCAGGACUGUUACUUUGAAAAAAUUAGAGUGUUUAAAGCAGGCCUACGCUUGAAUACAUUAGCAUGGAAUAAUGAAAUAGGACGUUCGAACCUAUUUUGUUGGUUUCUAGGAUCAACGUAAUGAUUAAUAGGGAUAGUUGGGGGCAUUAGUAUUCAAUUGUCAGAGGUGAAAUUCUUGGAUUUAUUGAAGACUAACUACUGCGAAAGCAUUUGCCAAGGACGUUUUCAUUAAUCAAGAACGAAAGUUAGGGGAUCGAAGACGAUUAGAUACCGUCGUAGUCUUAACCAUAAACUAUGCCGACUAGGGAUCGGAUGAUGGUAAUUUUUUAAUGACUCAUUCGGCGCCUUAC